GAUGAACGCUGGCGGCGUGCUUAAUACAUGCAAGUCGAGCGAACAGACGAGGAGCUUGCUCCUCUGACGUUAGCGGCGGACGGGUGAGUAACACGUGGAUAAUCUACCUAUAAGACUGGGAUAACUUCGGGAAACCGGAGCUAAUACCGGAUAAUAUAUUGAACCGCAUGGUUCAAUAGUGAAAGACGGUUUUGCUGUCACUUAUAGAUGGAUCCGCGCCGCAUUAGCUAGUUGGUAAGGUAACGGCCUACCAAGGCAACGAUGCGUAGCCGACCUGGGAGGGUGAUCGGCCACACUGGAACUUAGACACGGACCAGACUACUACGGGACGCAGCAGAAGGGAAUCUGCCGCAAUAGGCGAGAGCCUUACAGAGCAACGCCGAGUGAAUUAUAACAGUCUUCGGAUCGUAAAAAUCUCUUAUUAGUGAAGAACAAAUGUGUAAGUAAAUAUGCACGUCUUGACGGUACCUAAUCAGAAAGCCACGGCUAACUACGUG
RNAcentral lists this ribosomal RNA (497 nucleotides) under uncultured bacterium. Its description in RNAcentral is "partial 16S ribosomal RNA". It matches the Rfam family "Bacterial small subunit ribosomal RNA", at positions 28 to 507 of the family's 1533-position model. The record is from RNAcentral.